This 597-nucleotide long non-coding RNA is filed under the name Rattus norvegicus (Norway rat). RNAcentral describes it as "long non-coding RNA NONRATT025579". Lineage: Eukaryota; Metazoa; Chordata; Mammalia; Rodentia; Muridae. The record is from RNAcentral.
UGCCGUACGAGCCCUCCCCGAGCAGGUCCCCCAUCAGGUACUUGCCGAUGAGCUUGGCGCGCUUGCGGCGCGGCUGGUAGAUCACCUCGGUGGAGUCGAUGCGGUGGAUGAAGGUGUCCAUGCCCACCGACAUUAGCUCGCCCUCGGGGAACAGGCCCAACGGCUGGGGGUCAGCCACGUCCAUCCUGGCCCACUCUUUGUCCUCGUCCCCUUCGGGAGCGCCAAUUCUUUUCAAGUUCAAAUUUCCCCCACCCGCUUCUUCCAAAUGUUCAAGAAGGGGAAAAAAAGGAAUGGGGGGGGGGGAAGGAACGACCUCCACAACCCUCCCGGUCCCCACAACCGGGUCCACGUCCGUUUCCUGGGCGCCAAUUCUUCACUUUUGAUUUUCCCCUUUUCUUCUAGGUGCUCAGGGAGAAAAAAAAUGAAAAUAAGAAUAAAAAAAAAAAAAGCAAUGAGCCCCCCCAACCCUCGCGUCCCCCUAAUUCGGGUCCCCGGGGACGCUGCUUCCGACGGAGGCGACGGUCCGCCGUCGCGGCGCGCGGGCCGCUAGGUCAUGGUCGCCACUUGGGCCCCGCGCUCAGGGGCCCAGGCGGCCGC